CAGUAGCGUAUAUUAAAGUUGUUGCAGUUAAAAAGCUCGUAGUUGGAUUUCUGGUCUGGCGAACCUGACCCGCUCAUUUUUGAGUGUGUGUCGGCGUUUGCCUACCAUCCUUCCAGAGAACUUCCUCUGCCAUUCACUUGGUUGGAGGAGCGAUCUGGAACUUUUACUUUGAAAAAAUUAGAGUGUUCAAAGCAGGCUUGCGCUAUGAAUACAUUAGCAUGGAAUAAUAAUUUAGGACUUCGGUUCUAUUUUAUUGGUUGCGGAACUGAAGUAAUGAUUGAUAGGGAUAGUUGGGGGUGCUAGUAUUCAGCGGCCAGAGGUGAAAUUCUUAGAUUCGCUGAAGACUAACUUAUGCGAAAGCAUUCACCAAGGAUGUCUUCUUUAA
Molecule: ribosomal RNA, 385 nt
Filed under: uncultured eukaryote
Lineage: Eukaryota
Description: partial 18S ribosomal RNA
Rfam family: Eukaryotic small subunit ribosomal RNA
Source: RNAcentral